This 291-nucleotide ribosomal RNA is filed under the name uncultured prokaryote. Its description in RNAcentral is "partial 16S ribosomal RNA". It matches the Rfam family "Bacterial small subunit ribosomal RNA", at positions 505 to 796 of the family's 1533-position model. The record is from RNAcentral.
GUGCCAGCAGCCGCGGUAAUACGUAUGUCGCAAGCGUUAUCCGGAUUUAUUGGGCGUAAAGCGCGUCUAGGCGGGAAAGAAAGUCUGAUGUUAAAAUGCGGGGCUCAACUCCGUAUUGCGUUGGAAACUCCUUUUCUAGAGUAUCAGAGAGGUGGGCGGAACUACAAGCGUAGAGGUGAAGUUCGUAGAUAUUUGUAGGAAUGCCGAUGGAGAAGUCAGCUCACUGGAUGAAUACUGGCGCUAAAGCGCGAAAGCGUGGGGAGCAAACAGGAUUAGAUACCCUUGUAGUCC